RNAcentral lists this small RNA (3021 nucleotides) under Pongo abelii (Sumatran orangutan). Its description in RNAcentral is "processed transcript". Lineage: Eukaryota; Metazoa; Chordata; Mammalia; Primates; Hominidae. The record is from RNAcentral.
CCAUGCUGCGGUGCUUCCACUCCAAGGGGGUGAAUUACGUCAACUUCAGUGCAACUGGAAAGCUCCUGGUGUCGGUGGGAGUGGACCCUGAGCACACCAUCACUGUCUGGCGAUGGCAGGAAGGUGCCAAGGUUGCCAGCCGAGGGGGUCACCUGGAGCGCAUAUUUGUGGUGGAAUUUCGCCCCGACUCAGACACGCAGUUUGUAUCUGUCGGGGUCAAACAUAUGAAGUUCUGGACCCUGGCAGGCAGCGCCUUGCUUUACAAGAAAGGGGUCAUCGGGUCCCUGGGAGCUGCCAAAAUGCAGACGAUGCUCUCCGUGGCCUUCGGUGCUAACAACCUCACUUUCACGGGUGCCAUCAAUGGAGACGUCUACGUCUGGAAGGACCACUUCCUCAUCCGGCUGGUAGCCAAGGCUCACACAGGCCCCGUGUUCACAAUGUACACAACCCUUCGGGAUGGACUCAUAGUGACCGGCGGAAAAGAGCGGCCGACCAAAGAAGGAGGUGCUGUAAAAUUGUGGGACCAGGAGAUGAAGCGCUGCCGGGCCUUUCAGCUGGAGACGGGGCAGCUGGUGGAGUGUGUGCGCUCCGUGUGCCGUGGAAAAGGAAAAAUCUUAGUGGGAACCAAAGACGGAGAAAUAAUUGAAGUUGGUGAAAAAAAUGCUGCUUCUAACAUCCUGAUUGAUGGCCACAUGGAAGGGGAGAUCUGGGGCCUGGCCACUCACCCUUCCAAGGACCUCUUCAUCUCUGCCAGCAACGAUGGCACAGCCCGGAUCUGGGACCUGGCUGACAAGAAGCUGUUAAACAAGGUGAGCUUGGGCCACGCGGCCAGGUGUGCAGCCUACAGCCCUGAUGGGGAGAUGGUGGCCAUUGGCAUGAAGAAUGGAGAGUUUGUCAUCUUGUUGGUGAACAGCCUGAAAGUUUGGGGGAAAAAGCGAGACCGGAAAUCUGCUAUCCAAGAUAUCAGAAUCAGCCCAGACAACCGAUUCUUAGCCGUUGGUUCUUCUGAACACACAGUUGACUUCUAUGACCUCACUCAGGGCACAAAUCUGAACCGCAUUGGCUACUGCAAAGAUAUCCCAAGCUUUGUCAUUCAGAUGGAUUUUUCUGCGGAUGGCAAAUACAUUCAGAUGCAGCUGAGGUUGCUGGUCAGGAACCACACUCAGAUAACCGCUGUCUUAGGACUCUGGAAAAUAGCAAGAAAAUGGAUGAGAAGAAAGAUGGGAAAAUGGCCUGCUGGUGUUGUCAUGGGCUGGCCAUAGGCUUUGCAGCCUGGAGCUGAGCUUGGGUGUCAACAGGUGCCUAUAAGCGCCAGGUGCAUGAGGUCCCCCUGGGGAAGCAGGUAUCGGAAGCCAUGGUCAUUGAGAAGAUCACCUGGGCCUCCUGGACAAGGUGACUGACUGGAAGAAAAAACUUGAGGAAAAGGUCACAAGGGAGUCUCUUGUCUCACUCAGGCUCAGCCUCCAAGUUUGUGCAGGAUCUGAAGAAGCUGAGAAAUGGAGCUGUCUUUUCUUUUGGGGUGUCCUGGGAGAUGAAGUCAUUGGAAUCUGGCCACGAAAUGCAGACAAGGCUGAUGUCAACUGCGCAUGCGUGACCCAUGCUGGCCUGAACAUUGUCACAGGAGAUGACUUUGGGCUGGUGAAGCUCUUUGAUUUUCCGUGCACAGAAAAAUUUGCCAAACAUAAGCGAUACUUUGGUCACUCGGCUCACGUGACGAACAUCCGUUUCUCUUAUGAUGACAAGUAUGUGGUCAGCACUGGAGGAGACGACUGCAGUGUAUUUGUGUGGCGAUGUCUGUAAAAUGCCAGAAGCCUCUUAUGUUAUUGCUGCUGCUGCUACCAGCCAGCAACUGCAGAGGCCAUGCUGAGGUGCCUCCUUGCCACCAGCCGUUGGGAAAUGCCUACCAUGCUGCCCCGGACGCACAAGCUCAAAACGCUGCGGAAGUUACAAAACUGCUCCCAUAAUCUGGACUCUCCAAAACUGUGCUGCCACGAAGGAAGGUCAAGUUGUAAAAUGUUAAGACUGCUUGCCUCUGUUCCUGAGACUAAACACUAUACAUACUAACUACAUUGACAAAGAAAUCCUAUCUGAUAAUGUAGCCCGCUGACAAAUUUUGAAGCCUCGGUUACCCUAACCAAUAUGUAGCUUUUAAUUUGCAUCAAAACUUUUACAAAGAUGUUUUGCUAUUGUUUCUAUAUACUUCAAGAAUGUUCAUUUUUACAAAUAAGUUGAACAAGACAGCCUAAGUUAGAUGCACCGAAGUACUAGAAAUAUUGCUAGCCUCUGUUCUCCAGUUUAGCUUUCAAAACCAAAUGAGCCAUGUAUAAAGGAGUUGAGAAACUUAAUUUUUUAAUGUUUCAUUUGCAGAGUUUUAUAUCCAUUAAGUGCCUUUGAAAGUUUCCAGUUGUGUGGGCUGCUGUCUCACCUCCCACCAGUUUCUCCUUUCUCCAUAUGGUGCUAAAACUUCAAAGCUGAGGAGGGCUGCAGGACCCUUAGCAGAUUCAGUGUGUCACCCUUGUUCUGCGUUCAUGCCAAGGCUUCCUAAAUGAAAGACACCGGUUACCUGCUAUGGGAAGGUGAGCAGCAAAGGAACUGAGGUUCGGGAAAGGGUAGAGUUAUGGGUUUUCAUUGUUUCAUGCCAAACCCACAAAAUCCAAAAUAGAAUUCAAGUUAAACAAACUUCUACUACAAAAUGGAAGGGGAAAAAGGCUCAGGAAGGUCCAGGAGAAUGAGCUGACUUAUCUCGUUAAAUCUUAAGAUAAAUGAGGUAACCCAAGGCUGCACCUUGGUGUACCACCCUGGUACACCAGGAGUUGAGGUGACUUCAUUGAUUGCUUCAGGCGAACUAUAUAGGUCAAGUCCAGAUGAUAAAAAAAUAUCUGCAGAACAAAUUGUAAACCCAAGGAAUAGCUGGUAAAUCAAAAUUAUAAAGUGAGUUAGAGUUCCUUGGAGUUGGUUGUAUGACAGAAUAUGACUUGGACAAUCUUUGCCAGAAGCCAUCCGUAAGCCCCUCAGUCACAC